This 369-nucleotide ribosomal RNA is filed under the name uncultured Glomeromycotina. Its description in RNAcentral is "LSU rRNA". Lineage: Eukaryota; Fungi; Glomeromycota. The record is from RNAcentral.
UUGAAAGGGAAACGAUUGAAGUCAGUCGUGCUGGCGCGAAAUCAACCUUCUCGUCUUGAGAUCACAUGGCGUGGCGAGCCUCAAAACCGUCACGAAGCGUGAACUCUUGGUGAAAUGGAGCACUUUCGUGUCCGCUGGUUAACAUCAAUUUCGAACGUCAUAAAAAGGCUGGAGGGAUGUGGCUCCUUCGGGAGUGUUAUAACCUUUAGCGGAAUGUGGUGUUCGGGAUUGAGGAUUGCAACGAAUACCUUUAGGGCUGUUCCACCUGGCUUCUCUUUGGUAUCCUGGUGACGACAGCUUGCUGACGUCGUUAGGAUUCGCCUUUGAACAGGUUAGAGAGUGAGCAAAUUCGUUAAGGAUGUUGACGUA